UGGGCUUGAAGUGCAGACGAAAAUUCGCGAAAGCGGAUCGUCCUUCGGGACGUCUGUAG
Molecule: ribosomal RNA, 59 nt
Filed under: uncultured bacterium
Lineage: Bacteria
Description: partial 16S ribosomal RNA
Source: RNAcentral